RNAcentral lists this small nuclear RNA (305 nucleotides) under Jaculus jaculus (lesser Egyptian jerboa). RNAcentral's name for it is "7SK RNA (ENSJJAG00000005348.1)". It matches the Rfam family "7SK RNA". Rfam says of the family: 7SK was discovered as an abundant small nuclear RNA in the mid-70s but a possible function has only recently been suggested. Two independent studies have found that 7SK RNA binds the CDK9/cyclin T complex (known as elongation factor P-TEFb). The record is from RNAcentral. Lineage: Eukaryota; Metazoa; Chordata; Mammalia; Rodentia; Dipodidae.
GAACUGUGACGUGGUUUGGAAUCGUCACCCAUUGACACCAGGGUGGACUCAGCUGACCUGGCUGGCCUUCCUCUUCCACCACUUCAUUUAUGUCCCACUGGGGCAAUGUGCUUCCCUGAAUGGGAAGGUACUUCCUUUCGUAAAGAAUACCCAUUCUUGUGUCAAAGAUACAUGUCUAGCUAUGUUCCCUGCUAGUACCUCUGAACAAGCUCUCAAAAUAAAAAUUAUUAAUUAAUUAAUUAACAAGAGCAUGGGGAGGGCAACUGUGUUCUCUUGGGCUACCUUUGGUAGGCCGCCACUGUGUA